UACGUAGGGUGCGAGCGUUAAUCGGAAUUACUGGGCGUAAAGCGUGCGCAGGCGGUUUUGUAAGCCAGAUGUGAAAUCCCCGGGCUUAACCUGGGAAUGGCAUUUGGGACUGCAAGGCUGGAGUGUGGCAGAGGAGACUGGAAUUCCACGUGUAGCAGUGAAAUGCGUAGAGAUGUGGAGGAAUACCGAUGGCGAAGGCAGCCUCCUGGGCCAACACUGACGCUCAUGCACGAAAGCGUGGGGAGCAAACAGG
Molecule: ribosomal RNA, 253 nt
Filed under: uncultured bacterium
Lineage: Bacteria
Description: partial 16S ribosomal RNA
Rfam family: Bacterial small subunit ribosomal RNA
Source: RNAcentral